This 498-nucleotide ribosomal RNA is filed under the name uncultured bacterium. Its description in RNAcentral is "bacterial SSU rRNA". It matches the Rfam family "Bacterial small subunit ribosomal RNA", at positions 791 to 1289 of the family's 1533-position model. The record is from RNAcentral.
UAGUCCACGCCGUAAACGAUGUCUACUAGCCGUUGGGGAACUUGAUUCUUUAGUGGCGCAGCUAACGCACUAAGUAGACCGCCUGGGGAGUACGGCCGCAAGGUUAAAACUCAAAUGAAUUGACGGGGGCCCGCACAAGCGAUGGAGCAUGUGGUUUAAUUCGAUGCAACGCGAAGAACCUUACCAGGUCUUGACAUACAGCGAACUUUCCAGAGAUGGAUUGGUGCCUUCGGGAACGCUGAUACAGGUGCUGCAUGGCUGUCGUCAGCUCGUGUCGUGAGAUGUUGGGUUAAGUCCCGUAACGAGCGCAACCCUUGUCCUUAGUUGCCAGCGAGUCAAGUCGGGAACUCUAACAAGACUGCCAGUGCAAACUGUGAGGAAGGUGGGGAUGACGUCAAAUCAUCACGGCCCUUACGUCCUGGGCUACACACGUGCUACAAUGGUAGGUACAGAGAGCAGCCACAACGCGAGUUGGAGCGAAUCUAUAAAACCUAUCAC